Molecule: long non-coding RNA, 329 nt
Filed under: Homo sapiens (human)
Lineage: Eukaryota; Metazoa; Chordata; Mammalia; Primates; Hominidae
Description: HSALNT0130544
Source: RNAcentral
CCGAAAGGGAAUUUCACAUCUGUAGAUGGCAGGAGUCAGAGAGGCUGGUCACCAAAGAGAAACACAGCCUCCCCUCAAAUGCCUUCUAGAAAUCCUACCUCCCCCUCUUUAUUUCUCCCAGUCUAAGUCUAAUUACAGUUGCCAUGAAGAUACAUGGCUUUGAUCAACAUUUUCACUGCCUCUCCCCUGACAUGCCGCCUUCCCCAGCUUCCACUGAUCGUGAGGGUACCCAGAUGCUCCACAUCUGCUGUAUUCAACUCAUCUCCUCAUACCCAGGGUGAUCAAACUGCUCACUCUCUCUCAACAAUCCCACCAUGACUUCCUUCCAC